Molecule: unclassified non-coding RNA, 248 nt
Filed under: Hevea brasiliensis (rubber tree)
Lineage: Eukaryota; Viridiplantae; Streptophyta; Magnoliopsida; Malpighiales; Euphorbiaceae
Source: RNAcentral
GUCGUACUUGGUUACCUUGAAUUUAUCCAAGAAUCAGUCGAUUGGAAGCAUACCAGAGAAGAUUGCAUAUUUGAAGCACUUGGAAACUCUUGACCACUCAUGGUUACCCUCAUAUUUCAAGUCCCAUUCCUCCUAGCAUGUCUUCUCUGACUUUCUUGAACUAUCUCAACUUGUCACACAACAACUUAUCAGGACCAAUUCCAUCAACCAACCAAUUUCAUACCUUCAUGAUCCUUCAAUUUAUGAGG